UACAGAGGUCCCAAGCGUUGUUCGGAUUCAUUGGGCGUAAAGGGUGCGUAGGCGGCGCGGUAAGUCGGGUGUGAAAUCUCGGGGCUUAACUCCGAAACUGCAUUCGAUACUGCCGUGCUUGAGGACUGGAGAGGAGACUGGAAUUUACGGUGUAGCGGUGAAAUGCGUAGAGAUGUGGAGGAACACCAGUGGCGAAGGCGACUUUCUGGCCUAUAACUGACGCUGAGGCGCGAAAGCGUGGGGAGCAAACAGG
RNAcentral lists this ribosomal RNA (253 nucleotides) under uncultured bacterium. Its description in RNAcentral is "partial 16S ribosomal RNA". It matches the Rfam family "Bacterial small subunit ribosomal RNA", at positions 524 to 776 of the family's 1533-position model. The record is from RNAcentral.